This 266-nucleotide ribosomal RNA is filed under the name uncultured bacterium. Its description in RNAcentral is "partial 16S ribosomal RNA". It matches the Rfam family "Bacterial small subunit ribosomal RNA", at positions 88 to 354 of the family's 1533-position model. The record is from RNAcentral.
UAUCUUAGUGGCGGACGGGUGAGUAACGCGUGGGUAACCUGCCCCAUACCGGGGGAUACCACCUGGAAACAGGUGCUAAUACCGCAUAAGCGCACGGAAGCGCAUGCUCCUGUGUGAAAAACUCCGGUGGUAUGGGAUGGACCCGCGUCUGAUUAGCCAGUUGGCAGGGUAACGGCCUACCAAAGCGACGAUAAGUAGCCGGCCUGAGAGGGUGGACGGCCACAUUGGGACUGAGACACGGCCCAAACUCCUACGGGAGGCAGCAG